GCCUCCGUAGCUUAAAAUAAAGCAUAUCAUUGAGUG
RNAcentral lists this transfer RNA (36 nucleotides) under Elops machnata (tenpounder). RNAcentral describes it as "partial tRNA-Phe". Lineage: Eukaryota; Metazoa; Chordata; Actinopteri; Elopiformes; Elopidae. The record is from RNAcentral.